GUACUCACUUCAACAGCACAUACACUAAAAUUGGAACAACACAGAGAUCAGCGUGUCCCCUGCACAAGGAUGACAUGCAAAUUCAUGAAGCGUUCCCCGUUUUU
This is a small nuclear RNA of Camelus dromedarius (Arabian camel), 104 nucleotides long. The record is from Ensembl. NCBI's taxonomy places the organism in Eukaryota, Metazoa, Chordata, Mammalia, Artiodactyla, Camelidae.